GGGGUUGUGGCUCAGCGGUAGAGUGCUUGCCUCACAUGUGCAAGACCCUGGGUUUGAUCCUCAGCACCACA
Molecule: transfer RNA, 71 nt
Filed under: Marmota monax (woodchuck)
Lineage: Eukaryota; Metazoa; Chordata; Mammalia; Rodentia; Sciuridae
Description: tRNA.Val
Source: RNAcentral